Molecule: ribosomal RNA, 253 nt
Filed under: uncultured bacterium
Lineage: Bacteria
Description: partial 16S ribosomal RNA
Rfam family: Bacterial small subunit ribosomal RNA
Source: RNAcentral
UACAGAGGUCUCAAGCGUUGUUCGGAUUCAUUGGGCGUAAAGGGUGCGUAGGCGGCGCGGUAAGUCGGGUGUGAAAUCUCGGAGCUUAACUCCGAAACUGCAUUCGAUACUGCCGUGCUUGAGGACUGGAGAGGAGACUGGAAUUUCCGGUGUAGCGGUGAAAUGCGUAGAUAUCGGAAGGAACACCAGCAGCGAAGGCGACAACCUGGCUCUUAACUGACACUGAGGCGCGAAGGCGUGGGGAGCAAACAGG